GGAAUUGACGGGGCCGCACAAGCGGUGGAGCAUGUGGUUUAAUUCGACGCAACGCGAAGAACCUUACCAGGGCUUGACAUCCCCUGACCGCGUAUGAAAGUACGUUUUCACCCUCGGGUGACAGGGAGACAGGUGGUGCAUGGUUGUCGUCAGCUCGUGUCGUGAGAUGUUGGGUUAAGUCCCGCAACGAGCGCAACCCCUACGUUUAGUUGCUAACGCGUGAAGGCGAGCACUCUAGACGAACUGCCGUUGACAAAACGGAGGAAGGUGGGGAUGACGUCAAAUCAUCAUGCCCCUUAUGUUCUGGGCUACACACGUGCUACAAUGGCCGGUACAGACGGACGCAAAGCCGCGAGGUGGAGCGAAUCCCAGAAAACCUGUCUCAGUCCGGAUUGAAGUCUGCAACUCGACUUCAUGAAGGCGGAAUCGCUAGUAACCGCGAAUCAGCAGGUCGCGGUGAAUACGUUCCCGGGCCUU
Molecule: ribosomal RNA, 477 nt
Filed under: uncultured Pelotomaculum sp.
Lineage: Bacteria; Bacillati; Bacillota; Clostridia; Eubacteriales; Desulfotomaculaceae
Description: bacterial SSU rRNA
Rfam family: Bacterial small subunit ribosomal RNA
Source: RNAcentral